CAGUCGCCGCGGUAAAACGUAGGUGGCAAGCGUUGUCCGGAUUUAUUGGGCGUAAAGCGAGCGCAGGCGGUUUCUUAAGUCUGAUGUGAAAGCCCCCGGCUCAACCGGGGAGGGUCAUUGGAAACUGGGAAACUUGAGUGCAGAAGAGGAGAGUGGAAUUCCAUGUGUAGCGGUGAAAUGCGUAGAUAUAUGGAGGAACACCAGUGGCGAAGGCGGCUCUCUGGUCUGUAACUGACGCUGAGGCUCGAAAGCGUGGGGAGCAAACAGGAUUAGAUACCCCAGUAGUCCCUGUCUCUUAUAC
This 301-nucleotide ribosomal RNA is filed under the name uncultured bacterium. RNAcentral's name for it is "partial 16S ribosomal RNA". It matches the Rfam family "Bacterial small subunit ribosomal RNA", at positions 509 to 807 of the family's 1533-position model. The record is from RNAcentral.